GCAGAAUGACCGUUGCAACAAUGUGCAUGGGUUUGAAGCACUCACUGAGUUGAGAAGUACAGUGACUCACCUAGAAGCAGGAUCACAUAGUUGAGCUGUUGGCAGCACUAGAAUGAAGAGUUCAGUUUGACAGAAUGAUGCAUGAAGUUCAUCUCACUCACCACGACUUAGAUAGAUCGACGCACUGAAAGUGGUUGUUCACAUGUUCAUGUAUCACAUAAUCUGCCAGUCGUCUGAUGUAGCAGCAAGAAUACACUUAAAGCUGGAUGCUGCAUGGUUCAUGAUUCAGAUCUCCAGGUUUAGUACACAUCUACAAAAGAAGCAGCUGACUUUGAAUAUCAACCUGGAGUGUUGAGUGAUGUAGGUAGACGGAAGACUGGCAUGAAAUUAUCUAGUCAUCAGGCACUUCUAAUUCCAUCAUCAUACUCAUUAUAGGAGAUUGUGCUGCAAUGCGCAUGCCACCUUUGAAGUGUCCUAGUUGAGUUACUACAACAACAUGGAUGCAUGAUGCAUUUGAAAAAGUUAACCAGUUUUUGCAUUCAUUAUUUGGACUACAAUAUAGACAGUAGUUCAGUGACUGAGUGUACCUAUAUACCCAAAUCUGCAUGAGUCAAACUCGGAUCAGGCACCGACAGGAGGAUUUUUAUCAGCUGCAUGAAUUACCGGUUGUACCUAUGUAUUCAACAUCAUAUCCUAUUCACAGUGGAAUUUCAAGAUGCAAGCCAGUGCAUGAAAUUUGAAAAUAUUGAAGAAGAAGCACCAGUUCUGUUUCUGCAUGAUAUGAACUAAGUUUGUCUUCAUUUGUGUCAUGGAUCACGUUGCAUGACAAGGGAGUGACAUCUUUGGUUUGAUGUAAUCUCGUCACUACAUGUCGUCUCUAGCUCUUUUCCAGGCCAAUUCAAGGCAGUUGCACUGAUAUCACAUGGCACAUUUCAACAUCUACGCUGGAUUUGACAUCUGUGUCGGACGUCAAUGUUCUGUGUUGUCUCUUACUGGAUGCUUGUGUAUUUCCCUGACUGUUCACGUGUUACACUGUAUGAACUGCUUGUGGCGCAUCUGUGGCCACUAGCCCUGAGGCAGACAUCAUCUUUGCUAUCUACUUUAAUCCAAAGGGAUCCCGG
Long non-coding RNA from Haliotis rubra (blacklip abalone), 1121 nucleotides. RefSeq lists it as uncharacterized. NCBI's taxonomy places the organism in Eukaryota, Metazoa, Mollusca, Gastropoda, Lepetellida, Haliotidae. The transcript has 3 exons. The record is from RefSeq and is a predicted model, not a curated record.